RNAcentral lists this ribosomal RNA (427 nucleotides) under uncultured bacterium. RNAcentral describes it as "partial 16S ribosomal RNA". It matches the Rfam family "Bacterial small subunit ribosomal RNA", at positions 355 to 774 of the family's 1533-position model. The record is from RNAcentral.
UGGGGAAUUUUGGACAAUGGGCGCAAGCCUGAUCCAGCCAUGCCGCGUGUCUGAAGAAGGCCUUCGGGUUGUAAAGGACUUUUGUCAGGGAAGAAAAGGGCGGGGUUAAUACCCCUGUCUGAUGACGGUACCUGAAGAAUAAGCACCGGCUAACUACGUGCCAGCAGCCGCGGUAAUACGUAGGGUGCGAGCGUUAAUCGGAAUUACUGGGCGUAAAGCGGGCGCAGACGGUUACUUAAGCAGGAUGUGAAAUCCCCGGGCUCAAACUGGGAACUGCGUUCUGAACUGGGUGACUAGAGUGUGUCAGAGGGAGGGAGAAUUCCACGUGUAGCAGUGAAAUGCGUAGAGAUGUGGAGGAAUACCGAUGGCGAAGGCAGCCUCCUGGGAUAACACUGACGUUCAUGCCCGAAAGCGUGGGUAGCAAACA